AAGUCAUUGGGUAUUUAAAACCUAAAGGCGUAAUUAACUUAACUAUUUAUAAUGGGAUCAAUUAUAUAUAUUAAUAUUAUAUAUAUAUUCCAUCCCGGGGCGUUCUAUAUAGUUAUGCAUUUUAAUAUAUUUUAUAUAUAUUAUAUUUGCCUCUAACUAGAGCGUACCUUGAGCAUAUAUGUUGUGACCCGAAAGAUGGUGAACUAUACCUGAUCAGGUUGAAGUCAGGGGAAACCCUGAUGGAAGACCGAAACAGUUCUGACGUGCAAAUCGAUUGUCAGAAUUGGGUAUAGGGGCGAAAGACCAAUCGAACCAUCUAGUAGCUGGUUCCCUCCGAAGUUUCCCUCAGGAUAGCUGGUGCAAUUAAAUUUUAUGUAAUAUAAUCUUAUCUGGUAAAGCGAAUGAUUAGAGGCCUUAGGGCCGAAACGACCUUAACCUAUUCUCAAACUUUAAAUGGGUAAGAACCUCACCUUUCUUGAUUAUGAAGGUGAAGUUAUGAUAUAUUGUGCCCAGUGGGCCACUUUUGGUAAGCAGAACUGGCGCUGUGGGAUGAACCAAACGUGAUGUUACGGCGCCUAAAUUAACAACUCAUACUGAUACCAUGAAAGGCGUUGCUUGCUUAAAACAGCAGGACGGUGGACAUGGAAGUCGUAAUCCGCUAAGGAGUGUGUAACAACUCACCUGCCGAAGCAACUAGCCCUUAAAAUGGAUGGCGCUCAAGUUGUAUGCCUAUACAUCACCGCUAAAAUAUAUGAUUUAUAAAAAUUUUAUUUUUAUAAAUUUUGAAACUUUAGUGAGUAGGAGGGUACAAUGGUGUGCGUAGAAGUGUUUGGCGUAAGCCUGCAUGGAGCCGCCAUUGGUACAGAUCUUGGUGGUAGUAGCAAAUAAUCGAAUGAGACCUUGGAGGACUGAAGUGGAGAAGGGUUUCGUGUGAACAGUGGUUGAUCACGAGUUAGUCGGUCCUAAGUUCAAGGCGAAAGCCGAAAAAUUUUAAGUUAUAUAUUUAUUAUUAAUAAUUAUAUAAUAUACUUAUAAUUUUGAACGAAAGGGAAUACGGUUCCAAUUCCGUAACCUGUUGAGUAUACGUUUGUUAUUAAAAAUGGGCUUUUAUGCUCAUCCUGGUAACAGAAACAACCAUAAAGAAGCCGUCGAGAAAUAUCGAAAGAGUUUUCUUUUCUGUUUCAUAGUCGUACUACCAUGGAAGUCUUUCGAAGAGAGAUAUGGUAGAUGGACUAGAAGAGCAUGGCAUUUACUGCUGUGUCGAUAUUUUCUCCUCGGACCUUGAAAAUUUAUGGUGGGGUCACGCAAACUUCUUAACAGGCCGUACCGAUAUCCGCAGCUGGUCUCCAAGGG
This 1353-nucleotide ribosomal RNA is filed under the name Hypenetes critesi. Its description in RNAcentral is "eukaryotic LSU rRNA". It matches the Rfam family "Eukaryotic large subunit ribosomal RNA", at positions 688 to 1873 of the family's 3401-position model. Lineage: Eukaryota; Metazoa; Arthropoda; Insecta; Diptera; Asilidae. The record is from RNAcentral.